UAGUAAUUUAUAUAUAUAUAUAUCCAUUAAAAUGGACUGGCUUUUACAUUUCCAUUUAAACAUUCAGAUUCAUGGCGUGCAUAUCCAUACCAUUACGCGUGGUUGCCUUUUAGUGAAGAAACCAAACAACUUGUCCUUCCUUCGUUAUCCGAUAUGAAUUUUGUAGAGGAACUGUGCAAUGUAUUAGUUUAAGCAAGACAAAGGAUUCGAUAGAAAAUUGUAUUAACGUCAAAUGUCUGUGAUGCGGGGAAAAAUUUUAAAUUUAACUCAAGCCUCAAGGACGGUAAAUCUCCCGUUCAACUAGUCCAAAUGCCAGCAGUGGUCAUUGAAAAAAGUGAACCGAAAAGCAGAUUAACCUCGUUUACCCAGCGCUUCCAAUAAAAAAGCCCAUUUUUUUCAUGGUGCUAACGAGAAGGCCAAGUCAAGUAAUGAUACGUUUAAAUUUUUUGUUUUGUAAAUAU
This is a long non-coding RNA of Episyrphus balteatus (marmalade hoverfly), 461 nucleotides long. RefSeq lists it as uncharacterized. NCBI's taxonomy places the organism in Eukaryota, Metazoa, Arthropoda, Insecta, Diptera, Syrphidae. The record is from RefSeq and is a predicted model, not a curated record. The transcript has 3 exons.